CAGAACGAACGCUGGCGGCGUGCCUAACACAUGCAAGUCGCGCGAGAAAGUCCCCGCAAGGGGAUGAGUAAAGCGGCGCACGGGUGAGUAACACGUGGGCAACCUGCCCGAGAGACCGGAACAACCUUCCGAAAGGAGGGCUAAUGCCGGAUAAGACCACGGGGUCCUCGGACCCUGAGGUAAAAAGAUGGCCUCUGCAUGCAAGCUAUCACUCUCGGAGGGGCCCGCGGCCCAUCAGCUCGUUGGCGGGGUAACGGCCCACCAAGGCAACGACGGGUAGCUGGUCUGAGAGGACGAUCAGCCACACUGGAACUGAGACACGGUCCAGACUCCUACGGGAGGCAGCAGUGGGGAAUUUUGCGCAAUGGGCGAAAGCCUGACGCAGCAACGCCGCGUGAGCGAUGAAGGUCUUCGGAUCGUAAAGCUCUUUCGGCCGGGACGAAAACGUCGGGGUGAAUAUCCCCGGCCUUGACGGUACCGGAAGAAGAAGCACCGGCUAACUCUGUGCCAGCAGCCGCGGUAAUACAGAGGGUGCGAGCGUUGUUCGGAAUUAUUGGGCGUAAAGCGCGUGUAGGCGGUGAUGCAUGUCGGGUGUGAAAGCCCUCGGCUCAACCGAGGAAGUGCGCCCGAAACUGCAUCGCUGGAGUGCCGGAGAGGGUGGCGGAAUUCCCGGUGUAGAGGUGAAAUUCGUAGAUAUCGGGAGGAACACCAGCGGCGAAGGCGGCCACCUGGACGGACACUGACGCUGAGACGCGAAAGCGUGGGUAGCAAACAGGAUUAGAUACCCUGGUAGUCCACGCUGUAAACGAUGGGAACUAGGUGUGGCGGGAGUUGACCCCCGCCGUGCCGCAGCUAACGCAUUAAGUUCCCCGCCUGGGAAGUACGGCCGCCAAGCUAAAACU
This 902-nucleotide ribosomal RNA is filed under the name uncultured bacterium. RNAcentral describes it as "bacterial SSU rRNA". It matches the Rfam family "Bacterial small subunit ribosomal RNA", at positions 25 to 901 of the family's 1533-position model. The record is from RNAcentral.